CUGCUGGCAAACAGGAGCAAAACGCAGACCUGCAGGGAUAGGAGCUACCCGCAAUAGCUUCCAGUGCUUCCUUGCCCAGCCCCAACACCCAGAGCUCCACUCCCCCUCCUGCCAACCUCAGAUCUCCGCAAACCUUCCCAAAUACCUACAGACUCCUCUGUCUUCUGUUCCAUUCAACACUCUUCCUCCAUUCUCCUUGAAACCAAGGCUACCUGAGCAUUCAGUCCAAACCCUCACAUGCUUCUCACUUCCCUUCCUUUGUCUCUCCCAUGUAGACAGAUGUUCAAUCCACCUUCAUCUGAGCUUCCCUACCCUUCACACCCCAAUAAGCUUUCUGUGCUUCUGUUCCCUUUCUUGUUUUACAUCCUCUGCUGUGAAUCCGUCUCCCUGCCUACCCCCAUCCCCUCAGGGGUUUUGCAGCUUCGGCUCCCCAUUCUGGAGCCUAGCUGCCAGGGCUGCCACCAGAGCUUCAGAGCAAAACCCUCAUUGUACUUCUGCCAGUUAUUAAAAUGCACUGAAACUUUAUUAACCACCAUAUACAGCCUGGCCCUGACCAUUCCCUCCCUCACCCUCUGCAAAUGUGUGCUUUUUCAUAUAACAAAAAUCCAUCCAAAUGCCAUUCUGAAGGCAGAAAAACAGCGUACACAAGGAAAAGCCGUAAGAUGUGUGCAAUCUGCAGAUUUGACGAAUGGCCUAAUCUCUUCUUGUGUAUACACCUUCAUGCCUUCAACAAUUAUGGAGCUUUGGAGCACCCAGCUUAUGUCAUGACAGAAGUGCACAAAAGGGCUCCACUGUCUGGAACAGCAACAGAAGACAGCUGACUGUUGGCCAUGACAGCCCACCUAUAGACUGGCCAUGCACUCCAACUUUGAGGCAAGGUGCAUCAGUCUUCCAAAGGGUAAACCACUGAAAGUACCUGUGAUACAACUAA
RNAcentral lists this long non-coding RNA (931 nucleotides) under Anser brachyrhynchus (Pink-footed goose). RNAcentral's name for it is "lncRNA (ENSABRG00000016105.1)". The record is from RNAcentral. Lineage: Eukaryota; Metazoa; Chordata; Aves; Anseriformes; Anatidae.